CCUACGGGGGGCAGCAGUGAGGAAUAUUGGUCAAUGGACGAGAGUCUGAACCAGCCAAGUAGCGUGAAGGAUGACUGCCCUAUGGGUUGUAAACUUCUUUUAUAUGGGAAUAAAACGUUCCACGUGUGGGUUUUUGUAUUUACCAUAUGAAUAAGGAUCGGCUAACUCCGUGCCAGCAGCCGCGGUAAUACGGAGGAUCCGAGCGUUAUCCGGAUUUAUUGGGUUUAAAGGGAGCGUAGGUGGAUUGUUAAGUCAGUUGUGAAAGUUUGCGGCUCAACCGUAAAAUUGCAGUUGAAACUGGCAGUCUUGAGUACAGUAGAGGUGGGCGGAAUUCGUGGUGUAGCGGUGAAAUGCUUAGAUAUCACGAAGAACUCCGAUUGCGAAGGCAGCUCACUGGACUGCAACUGACACUGAGGCUCGAAAGUGUGGGUAUCAAACAGGAUUAGAUACCCUUGUAGUC
RNAcentral lists this ribosomal RNA (460 nucleotides) under uncultured bacterium. RNAcentral describes it as "partial 16S ribosomal RNA". It matches the Rfam family "Bacterial small subunit ribosomal RNA", at positions 338 to 795 of the family's 1533-position model. The record is from RNAcentral.